Eptesicus fuscus (big brown bat) is the source of this 252-nucleotide long non-coding RNA. RefSeq lists it as uncharacterized. The transcript is spliced from 3 exons. Lineage: Eukaryota; Metazoa; Chordata; Mammalia; Chiroptera; Vespertilionidae. The record is from RefSeq and is a predicted model, not a curated record.
CGGAAAUCCAGCUUUCCGGGGGGGCGGGGGGCGAGGCUCCCGGCCCGGGGGACGAGCACUAUCUUUCCAAUCGUGGUCCACAGAGGAGGAAAUCCUAGAAGGGAGGCUUCAAGUUGGGAACCAAUGCUUUGGGAUUGUGCAGCAGGGAUUGUGCAGCCACUGGAUUCACUGAGUAGGUGACUGAGCAGAUUUCUCCAGGAAUUUCCUCGCUCCCCUCUUACCCCCGCCCCCACUCACCAUUACUCAGCUGGU